This 80-nucleotide transfer RNA is filed under the name Cutibacterium avidum. Its description in RNAcentral is "tRNA-Pyl". RNAcentral also lists the same sequence under 1 other name. The record is from RNAcentral. Lineage: Bacteria; Bacillati; Actinomycetota; Actinomycetes; Propionibacteriales; Propionibacteriaceae.
GCCGUGCGAGCAGCGGUUCCCGAUGCCACUCUCACUCUAGCUGGAGGCGACCCCGAUGAUCGUGUCAGCGCGCUCGCCUC